UGGGGAAUUUUCCGCAAUGGGGGGAACCCUGACGGAGCAACGCCGCGUGCGGGAGGAAGGCCUGUGGGUUGUAAACCGCUUUUCUCUAGGAAGAAGGUCUGAUGGUACUAGAGGAAUCAGCAUCGGCUAACUCCGUGCCAGCAGCCGCGGUAAGACGGAGGAUGCAAGCGUUAUCCGGAAUAAUUGGGCGUAAAGCGUCGGAAGGCGGUUUAUCAAGUCAGUUGUUAAAGACUGCAGGACAACUGUGGGCGAGCAACUGAAACUGAUGAACUAGAGUGCGGUAGGGGUAGAGGGAAUUCCCAGUGUAGCGGUGAAAUGCGUAGAUAUUGGGAAGAACACCAGUGGCGGAGGCGCUCUACUGGGCCGCAACUGACGCUGAGGGACGAAAGCUAGGGGAGCGAAAGGGAUUAGAUACCCCUGUAGUCC
Molecule: ribosomal RNA, 426 nt
Filed under: uncultured prokaryote
Description: bacterial SSU rRNA
Rfam family: Bacterial small subunit ribosomal RNA
Source: RNAcentral